GUGAACGCUGGCGGUAGGCCUAACACAUGCAAGUCGAACGGCAGCACAGUAAGAGCUUGCUCUUACGGGUGGCGAGUGGCGGACGGGUGAGGAAUACAUCGGAAUCUACUUUUUCGUGGGGGAUAACGUAGGGAAACUUACGCUAAUACCGCAUACGACCUACGGGUGAAAGCAGGGGAUCUUCGGACCUUGCGCGAUUGAAUGAGCCGAUGUCGGAUUAGCUAGUUGGCGGGGUAAAGGCCCACCAAGGCGACGAUCCGUAGCUGGUCUGAGCGGAUGAUCAGCCACACUGGAACUGAGACACGGUCCAGACUCCUACGGGGGGCAGCAGUGGGGAAUAUUGGACAAUGGGCGCAAGCCUGAUCCAGCCAUACCGCGUGGGUGAAGAAGGCCUUCGGGUUGUAAAGCCCUUUUGUUGGGAAAGAAAAGCAGCAGGUUAAUACCCCGCUGUUCUGACGGUACCCAAAGAAUAAGCACCGGCUAACUUCGUG
Molecule: ribosomal RNA, 491 nt
Filed under: uncultured bacterium
Lineage: Bacteria
Description: partial 16S ribosomal RNA
Rfam family: Bacterial small subunit ribosomal RNA
Source: RNAcentral